GAGUUAUACUUUCAACUGCUUUCUACGUUCAUGCAAAUUCACCUUUUUCUUUGCGAAUGGGGCGCUCUGAGCAGGAGAGCCCAUCUAGUGCUGUUUCCCUCUGCGUCUUUGAGGGUGGGGCUUCCUUCCUGCUGUGAAGUGGCAUAGGAAUCAUAAGGAAACCACUCACUUUCCUGUCUUGUUUUUGUUACUCUGACAAGGAAAGAAGCUAAGUAUUGUGGCAGCCCACCGAGUUUUCUUGUUUAACUCAGGCCCCAUGGUAAGAAGAAAGGCUAUGAAGACCCUAAAUCCUCACAGGGAAAUAGAAGGCCAAUCCUGGUCUGGAAUGGCAAAUGUCUUCACAAGAGAUAUCCAGUCAAAGCAGAAAUGUGUUUGUGUGUGACUUAAACAAAUAGGCCAAUAAACUAGCUUAUUUCUAAGUGGUAUUGGGAGAUAAUUCGUAGUGCUGUGAGGCUGGUAAUGGGGUGUGGCACAGGGUCCUAUCAAAAGAUAGUUAGUGGUAGGGACCACAAUCAUGUGGCCACAUGAAUUUCCCUACCAGAUAUUAUUAGAGAUGGAAAUGCUAUGUUGUAACAUGAAGGAGGCCCCAAUUAUUUUAUAUGAAGAGCUAAACUCAUUUCAUUUCUUGAAUUUGCUCUGCAAUAAUAUGGAAUAGGGCGGGCAUCAAAAUCAAAAAUGAAAUACGAGCUUAUGAGCUGAGAAGUAUUAAAGCUGGUGGUGGACAUGGGCAGAUAAGCUCAAAGUUCAGUUGUGAACCACUGCUUUACGUUAAAGCGUGAAGAGGUGAGAUUGUAGCUUGCUAGAGCAUGUACUUAGCAUGUAUGUAGUCCUGGGUUUCAGUCUCCAGCACUAAUGUUUUUAAAAAAAAUGACAAGCAAUCUUAGGUUUAACAUUUCCUGCAUUAGGGACCCAGCCCAUAGUUGUGGGAAAGCAUUUGCUAAAGCAAACCGUACUGCUCGAAAAGAGUCUACAAAUCAAAAUGCAUUCCUUAAAGUUGCCCGUUAGACCCCUUCCCUUCAGUCAGCCCUUCUCCUCCGCACAGUUCUUCCUCUAAUUGUCAGUUUGGAGAGAGCGACCAGUUUCAAUUUUUAAGUGGUAAAAGUAAUUUAGAAUACACGCCUUUGUCUAGAUGGAUCACAGCAAUCUUGCUUUCGGCAAUUGCUCCACUUUCCCAAGCCUUGGCAAGAUGCUCAAAACAACAUUUCCUUCUUUUCAUUCUAGAGCAGGGUGAUUGGGACUCACAGGGCGUGGGCUUUUCCCAUAAUCCAGCCUGGUGUUUUACACCAGGGAGUUACAAUGAGUGUAGACUUUAUCCUUGCUUCCACACCCUUUCAGUAAGAGAACGCCAUGUUCUCAUAGUUGGCGCAAAGUUAUUUUUAAUACUUAGCCCUCUAAGUGUUCACGAUAAUUGAAUCCCAUUUCCAACCUGAUGAAUUCUUGUCUAUUUGCCUCAAAGAUAAAUGGAAACUUCCUGUUUGGUGUGGUGGUAUUCCUCUGUAUGACGUCAGGUUGUUUUUAAGUUUUCGGUUUUGUUUUGUUUUGUUAUUUAGGUCUAUGCGACUCCAUCAGGGUAACUGACUUCCUAAUUAGUCUUUAAUAACAAUUCCUGGAACACUGUGAGGUCAAUGGCACAUCAGCUAGGUGAGUUAUAUUUGGGGUCAAGGAUUCAGGUCAAGGUCACUUCAGGUUCUCUUCUCACAUUUAUGCCCAAUGUGUACAGACAUUGACAGACAGGCUAUCUAUCCAAUGGAGCUCGAGUAGGGAAUUAGGACUGCAGAGAACUUGAGCAAGGAACGAAUACUCCAGGUGGUUUUACUUGCUUUACUGAUCAUUGCCACGAUCCUAUUGCUCACAACUCGUCUUUGAUGCUGUCUGUAAGUUUUAGAGAUCAUUUUACUGUUCUCCCUUCCUCUCACUGCUCUGCCUCUCAGGGAAUACUAUAUAAAGCGCUCUUCCAUUGAACACAGCCAUUUCCCGCCCCCCAAAGAUCUGCAUUUUUUUAUACAAAUAAUAAAGACAGUGAGGUGUUUCCAUAGCAUACUGAGGAGCGAUCUUUAAAGGUUUUAUUUUUGUUUUUAAUUGUGUGUGUGCACUCG
Molecule: non-coding RNA, 2096 nt
Organism: Rattus norvegicus (Norway rat)
Lineage: Eukaryota; Metazoa; Chordata; Mammalia; Rodentia; Muridae
Source: RefSeq, a predicted model, not a curated record